GACGAACGCUGGCGGCGUGCCUAAUACAUGCAAGUCGAGCGAACGGACGAGAAGCUUGCUUCGUUGAUGUUAGCGGCGGACGUGUGAGUAACACGUGUAUAACCUACCUAUAAGUCUGGGAUCACUUCGGGACACCGGAUCUAAUACCGGAUAAGAUUUUGAACCGCAUGGUGCGAAAGUGAAAGACGGUCUUGCUGUCACUUAUAGAUGGAUCCGCGCUGCAUUAGCUAGUUGGUAAGGUAACGGCCUACCAAGGCGACGAUGCGUAGCCGACCUGAGAGAGUGAUCGGCCACAUUAGAGCUGAGACACGGUCCAGACUCCUACGGGAGGCCGCAGUAGGGAAUGUUACGCAGUGGGCGAAAGCCUGACAGAGCAAGGCGGAGUGAGUGAUGAAAGUCUUCGGAUCGUAAUGCUCUGUUAUUAGGGAAGAACAUAUGUGUACGGAGAUGUGCAGAGCUUGACGGUAACUAAUAAGAAAGCACCGGCUAACUACGUG
This 497-nucleotide ribosomal RNA is filed under the name uncultured bacterium. Its description in RNAcentral is "partial 16S ribosomal RNA". It matches the Rfam family "Bacterial small subunit ribosomal RNA", at positions 28 to 507 of the family's 1533-position model. The record is from RNAcentral.